RNAcentral lists this ribosomal RNA (468 nucleotides) under uncultured bacterium. RNAcentral's name for it is "partial 16S ribosomal RNA". It matches the Rfam family "Bacterial small subunit ribosomal RNA", at positions 28 to 507 of the family's 1533-position model. The record is from RNAcentral.
GACGAACGCUGGCGGCGUGCUUAACACAUGCAAGUCGAACGGAAAGGCCCUGCUUUUGUGGGGUGCUCGAGUGGCGAACGGGUGAGUAACACGUGAGUAACCUGCCCUUGACUGUGGGAUAACUUCAGGAAACUGGGGCUAAUACCGGAUAGGAGCUCCUGCUGCAUGGUGGGGGUUGGAAAGUUUCGGCGGUUGGGGAUGGACUCGCGGCUUAUCAGCUUGUUGGUGGGGUAGUGGAUUACCAAGGCUUGGACGGGUAGCCGGCCUGAGAGGGUGACCGGCCACGUUGGGACUGAGAUACGGCCCAGACUCCUACGGGAGGCAGCGGUGGGGAAUAGUACACAAGGGGCGGAAGCCUGAUGCAGCCACGCCGCGUGCGGGAUGACGGCCUUCGGGUUGUAAACCGCUUUCGCCUGUGCCGAAGCGUGAGUGACGGUAAUGGGUAAAGAAGCACCGGCUAACUACGUG